Molecule: ribosomal RNA, 465 nt
Filed under: uncultured bacterium
Lineage: Bacteria
Description: bacterial SSU rRNA
Rfam family: Bacterial small subunit ribosomal RNA
Source: RNAcentral
CCUACGGGACGCACCAGGGGGGAAUAUUGCACAAUGGGCGCAAGCCUGAUGCAGCCAUGCCGCGUGUAUGAAGAAGGCCUUCGGGUUGUAAAGUACUUUCAGCGGGGAGGAAGGUGUUGCGGUUAAUAACCGCAGCAAUUGACGUUACCCGCAGAAGAAGCACCGGCUAACUCCGUGCCAGCAGCCGCGGUAAUACGGAGGGUGCAAGCGUUAAUCGGAAUUACUGGGCGUAAAGCGCACGCAGGCGGUCUGUCAAGUCGGAUGUGAAAUCCCCGGGCUCAACCUGGGAACUGCAUUCGAAACUGGCAGGCUGGAGUCUUGUAGAGGGGGGUAGAAUUCCAGGUGUAGCGGUGAAAUGCGUAGAGAUCUGGAGGAAUACCGGUGGCGAAGGCGGCCCCCUGGACAAAGACUGACGCUCAGGUGCGAAAGCGUGGGGAGCAAACAGGAUUAGAUACCCCAGUAGUC